RNAcentral lists this long non-coding RNA (5824 nucleotides) under Homo sapiens (human). RNAcentral describes it as "non-protein coding lnc-HNRNPU-1:5". Lineage: Eukaryota; Metazoa; Chordata; Mammalia; Primates; Hominidae. The record is from RNAcentral.
AAAUACCAGUAUUUGGGUGGUGGAGGAUAUUGGUAUAUUAUAUUGACCUGGGUUGAUGACUACUGGACUAUUUUAAGAUACCUACUUCCAAAACUUAUUUUAUUCUAGAGGACCACUAAAAAUCAGAAUUACAGCAAUCAUUUUAAUUUUUCUACUUUCCUUGUUAAGGUCUUCUGCUUACCCAAAGAAUAGUGUAUAUCUUAACAUGACUUUUAAAGGGGUAUCUUGAUCCCCAUCACAGAUUUUUAUCUAUGAAUAGAAGGAUUGAAACCCUAUUUGAUCCCUAGCUCUUUGCUGAAAAGUGCAUAAACAGGAAUCCUGAAUUUAUUAUAUAGACCUCCUCGCAUUAUAUAAUCGAAGCAAAGGGAAACCAGCGAUGGAGUAGAGGUACGUAGACUAAAGAGAUGCUUGCAAAUGAUGGUACCUAGGGAUAGUCACAUUUUCUUGUUGCCAAACUCAGACAAUAUAAUCACAAGUCCAGAGAAGAGCUAGUUAAUUUUAAAUUCCCCGAGGUCCUUUUACUGAGAUGGAAAAGCACAAACAGUCAAGGAAAACCAAAGAGGGAGGGGUGAGGGAAGGGGAAAGUGCAUAAAGCACUUAAAGAUUUUUUAAAAGUAGGUAUGAUAGAUAAGCCACAAGAAGUUUUUAAGACUACUAAUAACCAUAAUUCUAUUUUAAUCAGCUAUUUAGCUGGUACCUACUGCUAUAUCACCUAGUGUGACAUUUCGGAAUUAAUGGAACAAUGAAGGAAGCUGUACACUGGAGGUUCCAGGUGGUCAUGGAAGGUUUCCAGUUUAUGCAAACUUCUGUGAAAAUGAGCUUUGUUAUUGGUGAAGACAUUGGAAAUUUUACCAGCCAAAACAGAGUUUCUCUCUUAUUCAGGGUAAGAUGUAAUUGCAGUGUGCUAGCGCUGGAAGGGACCUGUUUUAUAUGUUAUGUAUGUUACACGUCAGCCCUCCAUGUCCUCCAGUUCUGCAUCCUUGGAUUCAACCAACUGUGGGUUGAAAAUACUGGAGGUAAAAAGACAAAAAAUAACAAUGAAGAACAACAACAAAAAUACACAGUAUAAUAAUUACAUUUACAUAGCAUUUAUUUUGUAUUAGACAUUAUAAGUAAUCUAGAGAUGAUUUAAAGUAUAUGGGAGAAUGUAUGUAGAUUAUAUGGAAAUAUGAGGGUAUUUUAUUUAAAGGGACUUGGGCCUGUGGAUACCAAGGAAUAACUAAGGUAAAACUGAGCAUAAGUGGCCUGUCCAUAUUUUGUUAAAUAUCAGAUUAUUGAUUAGUGAUCAUCAACAUUUUCCCGCAUUCAUGCAGUGCGGCCUCUGAAAACAUGGUUGAACAUCCUAUGGAAUUUUUUUUUUUUUUUGAGAUGGAGUCUCACUCUGUCACCUAGGCUAGAGUGCAAUGGCGCGAUCUUGGCUUACUGCAACCUCCGCCUGCCCCACCUCGGGUUCAAGUGAUUCUCCUGCCUCAGCCUCCUGAGUACCUGGGACUACAGGCAUGCACCACCACGCCCGGCUAAUUUUUGUAUUUUUAGACGAGACAGGGUUUCACCCUGUUGGCCAGGCUGGUCUCAAACUCCUAACCUCAGGUGAUCCAACUGCCUCGGCCUCCCAAAGUGCUGGGAUUACAGGUAUGAGCCACCGUGCCCAGCAGAAUUUUUUAACUAUUUGGUUACGACUAAUUUGGAUAAUGUAGUGCAUGCAGCUUUGAUUUGUGCCACUAAGAGUGGGCAAACUGUCUUCCUUUUUGUGAAUCAGUAAAAAUUUUCCCUCAACAUGUGUUUGACAGUUGUCAUUCACUGCUAAGUUAAGGCAUUUGGUAAACCACACAGCCUCUGCAUCCUUCCUAGCGACAGCCACAAGAAAAGGUGGGCAUGGGAGGGAAAAUGCUCUUGUGAAUUGAACUGGAGGCAAGCUCCACUUUUCUUUAGAAAAAGAUGUAGAUCAAAAUAACUAAUAUUUUCUUCCUUGCUCGAUUUCUGUGCCUUCCAUGGUACAUCAAAAUAAUAGGACCAGUAAUGGCCACAAUCCUGUUGACUGCUGUUACCUUCGCCCCAAUAUUUCUUUAAGCAUUUCUUAAGCAUCUAGCUUGUGUUUUGUUAUAUUUAACAGAUUUUCUUAAAGUAUUGUAUGAAUUAAAACCAGAAAUAACUUCAUUUUCCUAGAAAGGGAUAAUUUCUCCCGGAGAAUAAAUCCUGAGGAUUUAGUUAGAUGCUGUGGGUAUUGUAUUUUAAAUAAUAUUUUAAUGGGAGCAGCUGAUUGACUUUCAAAUGGAUUGUUUACAUUAAUAGUAAUUCUGCAGUUGUUUUACUAUUGCAUCAGUCUGCCAGACAAGUUCCAUGUGCAUAUUUUAAUUCAGAACUAAUUAUACUUAAAAAUUUAAACCCUGCAUACUUCCCCAAAAAUGUUUAGGGCAGUUAAAAACAACUCUUUUGGAAGAUGACUCGCAUUUUAAGAAAUGAGAGAACACUGUCAAAUGAUGAAUGCAUUUAAAAAAUAAUUUGCAAAGUGAUAAAAGCCCUUAGUUUUAAAUCUUACAAUGACAUUAGCUCUUACAAGAACUCAGUAAGUAUUUGCUGUUUUUUAAUGGGAUAGUAAUAAGGUUGAGGUUUUUGUUAAGGGACGUUUACUUAUCAUCAAACUCUAUACUUACUACUACAAGGAAACUCCAAGUACAUUAAACACUAUGUUUUAUAAUUCUUUGCCACACUGCCAAUAAAUUCUGUUCACAUUUUAAGGAUGACAAGUCCACUAUAUGUAACACGUAAGAAUGCUAUCCUGGCAGUAGACACAGGGCCAGAAUAAACUGGCAAGUUUUCAUUCCACACAAGUGUGGGAAAAAAAUGACUACAACUUAAACUUUAUUUACUUGAUUGAGAGCUUAUUGCACAUGAAAUGUUUUAUGUGGUUGAUCUUAACUUCGUUUACAUUGACUUCUAUGCUCAAGAUUGUUCAAUUGCUGCUGCUGCCGUUGUGUUUUCUUUCAGGAUCGAGGUGGGUACCUUCAUAUAAUAUCUUCUUUUUAAUUUCUUCUCUGGCAAUUCUUUCCUGGAUUCUUUGCUUUGCAUAAUUAUACCUACAAUGAAACCUUAGAAGAAAAGAAUAUGAAUAAAUUGUUAAUAUAAAGUCCUACAGAAAUUAAUUUAUGAAAUUUCUCUAAAUCACACAAAACUUAAAUACAGAUGACUACUACCCUGAGACUGAAAAAUAUGUUCUAAUUUAUAGUGCUAUUUUUGGGCAGUUUUGGUGUCAGAAUACCUAUCAACACAUUCUUUUUUUAUUAGGAAAAAAAGGAUGUCUACAUAACAAUUUGUAAAGUGAUAAAAUCCAUUAGUUUUUAAGUCUUCUGAUAGCAUUGGCUAUUAUAAGAAACAAGUAUUUGCUCUCGUUUUUAACGGGAUAAUAAUGCUAUGUCUACAUAAAAUGAUUUCUACCACCUUAAAUAGCUCACUGUAGAAAUUCAUGUAUAAAUGGAACCAUAUAGUACAUACAUAUCAUACUCUUAGGUCUGGCAAAUAUUUGAGGUUCAUCCAUAUUUUAUAUUCACUCAUCAGUAGUUGUAAACACAUUCUUAAAGUAGCAUUUUCAGAUAUGAAUAAGCAGGGAUGAAAUAAGUAUUAGGGUAAGGGAAAUGGUUGAGGCUUUCCUAAGUGAAGUGUAAAAACCACAGCUUUCUUUUUAAUGGGAUGUCUAAUAUGCAUUUAUCUGUUCAAGCAUUUUAAGAUUUCCAUGAAAAUGUCCUGAAAAAUCAAGAUUCUUCAUUGAGGGUGAGGAUCUCCCAAUGGGAGACUGCUCUGAAAAGAGCAUGUGCUUUUUGAAUUAGAUAACCUACUAUAAUCAUGGAUGUUCUUGAAUACUUAGCAAACAUACCAGCAUCCCAAAGUCACCAAGAUAAACCCUCCUACUCCAACAUCACAUGAUCUUCUAAUUCUACCUGUAAAAAUAAGCAUAACAAUUAAUUAGAAUAUAAUUACGUUAUAUACAUUACUCCACCUAGAAAAAAAAAUAGUUCAUUAUGUAGAGAAAUGCUUUUUUUAGUACAUAGAGAAAUAAAAAAUACAGAUACUCACUAGUGAACAAAAAAUGUCCAAAGCCAGCCACAACAGAUCCUAAUGAACCAUACAAUAUUGAAUGCCGGGCGCAGGGAGUAUUUUCAACAUCUAAAAAUCCUAGGAGCUUAAGGGACUAGAAUGAAAAAAAAGAACCUAGAUUGAGUAAGAAAGUAUUUCAUUUUGGGGUGCUUUGGCAAAAAUGACAAUACACCAUUUCUUUUCUUGUAGUUGAGGGUUUAAACUAGAGUAUGUGCCACGUGACAACCUAAAUCAGCUUGCGUUGUCUUUGUCCACCUUUGGUAUGCAGUCUGAAUCUUUAAAUCCGAAAACCUUACAAAUUGGACCGGAAAACCCUUAAGCAGUAGGGUAACUUGGAGCUGUAUCUUAAUUUGCUAAUCAACUGACUUGGAAAUAGGAUAAUUCAUUUUAUGAGCUCUUUAAAUGAGUUUAUUUGGGAAUAUGCCUAUCAUUGGAAUUGAAAGCAGCAUAGCUUGCUUCAGUAACUCCAAUAAUUUGGGAAGCAGAAAUGGAAAAAGUAAUUUGAGUCAUGUUUGCUUAUGUAGUGCCGUUUAAAAUUCCCCUAGUAAUUACCUUUCAUAUUUUAUUAACUAGGUUAACAUCAACUGUGGUUGUAAGAGUAAAUGUUUCACCUUAAGAUAAACAUGGGCAAUAUAUUAAACUCUAGUCUGUUUUCUUGCCUGUGAAGUGAGGCUGCACUUGAUUAUAUUUGAUUCUUUGUUCGUAAUACAUGGGAACGACAGCUAAGUGUGGUGAAAAACGCGGGGAUCCAAAGAGCUGGAUUUUUAUCUCAGAUCUGCCGCUAACUUUUGUAUCCUAUAGGCUACUUUUAUUUCUAUGGUCUCAAUCUAUAACAUGAAUGGGUUGGGUUAAAUGACUGAAGUUCCUUCAAGUGCUAAAAUUCUUUUUCUACAGUCUUCAUUGGAUUUAUGUAUUUCUUAUUCCUAAUAUGUUUAACUGGGAUGUCUGUCACUCUAGGGCGGCAAGACAGACAUUUAAAAGUAACAGUCACACUGCUGAACUGGCAUUUCUGUUAACACAAAAGUUUAGAAAACUCACGGUAACUGUUACUUGAUUUAAGUGUAUAUAAAAUUUUCAGUAAGGCUGCUUUUAAAAGGAACCACUGUCCAUUUAAAGGUUUCAUAGUUAUCUUCAAUGGGUUAGUAUUGUUUGGGGCAGGACAUUAAACUAGAAGGGAUUCUAUAGGAUGAGGUGAUACCUAGAAGGUAAUAUAUUGUAAGGCAAAAGAGAUUAGAAGAAAUGGGGAAAGGAUAGUAAAAGGCAAGUCAGAUUAAAGGUUGAAACAUGAAGAUAUUCUCAAUUGUAUUUCUGCCUAUGUUUGCUUUUUUGGCUCAAGCAUCUGUUGGAAGAGACAAAAUGUGACUUGGUUCAUAAUAAAGCAAGAAUUAUUUACUCUCGGAUCAUUCUAUUCCAUUUUUUCCCUCUGUCUGGCCCCGUUCCCACCCGCAUGCCUAACAUAGGAUUGCUUCAAAGCUUUGCAGUACAGUUCUUCACAUUACCAAGAGGUUGGGGGAUUUCAUUUAGCAAGACGACUUUUUCCUAUCAGCUUGAGAGCCCAGGGGACAUAUGAUCAUGUGGGUAGUGUUAUGCAGGUGAGGAAUGCUGGACUUAGCGCUCCAGUCCAGGACUACCUCUAAACUAGACUAUUUCCCCAAGGAUGGGAUGCUGGGGCCAGAGGAUUAGUACCAGUUUGAUCUAGUCUUAGGUGCAAAGAUGCAAGUGUGAGACCAGC